CUGCUUUUUCCUGUAAAUUUCAGUCAGUUUCUUCAUUACAGCUUUCUUUAGUAUCUUUCUUUUCCCUUCUUAUUUUACAACCCACCUGCCCCCCUUGUGUCUGCACUUCUGGCAUCUUGACUAAAGGAAGCCAGGGAGGUGUUGUCCUUUAAGCCCUGACCUCUCGAACUCUCCACCUGACUGGAUUAAGGACUUUCUUUACACUCCUCAGUACCUCUUAUUGUUUUCCCAUUCCCCUGUGUUUUCGAGGAAAGUCUACAGAAUUGUUUAUUUUUUACCUCAUGUUUUUUUGACCCUGUUCUUGUAUUAGCCGACAUUUCCCCUGUUCCUGGGUCCAGUGUUCCCACUGUUUCAGAGUUGUAAUAGGGCGGCCCUUAGCGGCUGGAAACACAGUGAGUUGGACGAAGGCAAGUGCAGUGGAACAAAGUAUUUAUUUGCUAUACAGCUCUCCUCACAACAAUUAACUCCUUGAGCUUCUUCACAGCACAAAAUAUCCUCCUCUAAUGACAACCAGCAGCCUUAAAUAUGUUCAGCUGUCACAGACUAAACCAUUAUUCCACUCUUAGGUAAAUUCUUAAAUCCCCACCUUCCACCACAGUAUACAAUAUAUCAAUUAGAAUAAAUAAAUACAGUUCACAUUUUCAUAUUAAUAAAUAUUUCACACUUUAAUUUUACACCAAACCCAAUAUUAUAAAAACCCAGAAACCCAAGCACAAAAAGAUUCACCACACUCUCUUUACCAAUGGUCUCUCCCGGAACCUUUAAAUGGUGUCUGGACCCCCGGGGAAACAUUUGCCCAAACACCCUGAAGAGGACACAGGCAAGAAAGACAACCACCACAUUCCUUGAUGAGGAGCAGCUGUGCAGGAUCUGAAACAAGGCUACCAACUGAUUUUAAAAUUCCCAAUAAAUAAUCAAUAAAUAUUUAAACUUCUUGUGUGCAAA
This is a long non-coding RNA of Oreochromis niloticus (Nile tilapia), 945 nucleotides long. RefSeq lists it as uncharacterized. The record is from RefSeq and is a predicted model, not a curated record. The transcript has 2 exons. NCBI's taxonomy places the organism in Eukaryota, Metazoa, Chordata, Actinopteri, Cichliformes, Cichlidae.